GUGUCAGCAGCCGCGGUAAUACCCGCAGCACAAGUGGUGGUCAUUAUUAUUGGGCCUAAAGCGUCCGUAGCUGGCGUGUUAGAUGCCUGGGUAAAUCGAUGCGCUCAACGCAUCGAAUUCCGGGUAGACCGGCACGCUCGAGACCGGGAGAGGUGUAGGGUACUCGGGGGGUAGGGGUAAAAUCCUGUAAUCCUCCGGGGACGACCAGUGGCGAAGGCGCUACACUAGAACGGCUCUGACAGUGAGGGACGAAGCCCUGGGGCGCAAACCGGAUUAGAUACCCGGGUAGUCC
RNAcentral lists this ribosomal RNA (292 nucleotides) under uncultured bacterium. Its description in RNAcentral is "partial 16S ribosomal RNA". It matches the Rfam family "Archaeal small subunit ribosomal RNA", at positions 455 to 747 of the family's 1478-position model. The record is from RNAcentral.